Molecule: ribosomal RNA, 367 nt
Filed under: Thiomonas sp. 13-66-29
Lineage: Bacteria; Pseudomonadati; Pseudomonadota; Betaproteobacteria; Burkholderiales
Description: bacterial SSU rRNA
Rfam family: Bacterial small subunit ribosomal RNA
Source: RNAcentral
AGAUUAAACUGUAGAGUUUGAUCCUGGCUCAGAUUGAACGCUAGCGGCAUGCCUUACACAUGCAAGUCGAACGGCAGCGCGGGGGCAACCCUGGUGGCGAGUGGCGAACGGGUGAGUAAUGCAUCGGAACGUGCCCAUCGAUGGGGGAUAACUGCGCGAAAGCGUUGCUAAUACCGCAUACGACCUACGGGUGAAAGCAGGGGACCGCAAGGCCUUGCGUCGAUGGAGCGGCCGAUGCCGGAUUAGCUAGUUGGUGAGGUAAAGGCUCACCAAGGCAACGAUCCGUAGCUGGUCUGAGAGGACGACCAGCCACACUGGGACUGAGACACGGCCCAGACUCCUACGGGAGGCAGCAGUGGGGAAUCUU